AUGGAAGGGGGGUGGGGAUGACGUCAAGUGAUCAUGGCCCUUACGGCCUGUGCUACACACGUGCUACAAUGGUCGGUACAGAGGGUUGCGAAGCCGCGAGGUGGAGCUAAUCUCAUAAAACCGAUCGUAGUCCGGAUCGCAGUCUGCAACUCGACUGCGUGAAGUCGGAAUCGCUAGUAAUCGCAAAUCAGAAUGUUGCGUUGAAUACGUUCCCGGGCCUUGUACCACACCGCCCGUCACACCAUGGGGGUGGGUUGCACCAGAAGUAGCU
Molecule: ribosomal RNA, 271 nt
Filed under: Pseudomonas fluorescens
Lineage: Bacteria; Pseudomonadati; Pseudomonadota; Gammaproteobacteria; Pseudomonadales; Pseudomonadaceae
Description: partial 16S ribosomal RNA
Rfam family: Bacterial small subunit ribosomal RNA
Source: RNAcentral